This 253-nucleotide ribosomal RNA is filed under the name uncultured bacterium. Its description in RNAcentral is "partial 16S ribosomal RNA". It matches the Rfam family "Bacterial small subunit ribosomal RNA", at positions 524 to 776 of the family's 1533-position model. The record is from RNAcentral.
UACAGAGGUCUCAAGCGUUGUUCGGAUUCAUUGGGCGUAAAGGGUGCGUAGGCGGCGCGGUAAGUCGGGUGUGAAAUCUCGGAGCUUAACUCCGAAACUGCAUUCGAUACUGCCGUGCUUGAGGACUGGAGAGGAGACUGGAAUUUACGGUGUAGCGGUGAAAUGCGUAGAUAUCGGGAGGAACACCAGUGGCGAAGGCGGCGAUCUGGGUCGAUACUGACGCUGAGGUGCGAAAGCGUGGGGAGCAAACAGG